This 504-nucleotide unclassified non-coding RNA is filed under the name Hevea brasiliensis (rubber tree). Lineage: Eukaryota; Viridiplantae; Streptophyta; Magnoliopsida; Malpighiales; Euphorbiaceae. The record is from RNAcentral.
CGCGGCAGCGUGGUCGAUCCCAUCAGGAACUGAUCGAUCGCAGCGGCGCACUGGCGGCCUUCGCGGAUCGCCCAGACGACAAGUGACUGUCCGCGGCGCAUGUCGCCCGAGGAGAACACCUUCGCGACCGAGGUCUGGUAGUUAUUGGUCGAGGCACGCACGUUGCCGCGCGGGUCCAGUUCGACGCCGAGCUUCUUCAGCAGGCCCUCGUGCACCGGAUGGACGAAGCCCAUCGCCAGNCAGUUCGGCCUUGAUUUCAAACUCGGUGCCCGGCACCGGCUGGAACUUGUCGUCCACGCGAACGCAAUGCAGUUUCGCGACCUUGCCAUCGUGGCCGGAGAACUUCUGCGUCAGCACGGCGUAUUCGCGGAUCGCGCCUUCGGCCUGGCUUGAUGAGGUGCGCAUCUUCAAUGGCCAGUUCGGCCAGGACAGCCCCUUGUUCUCGCGCUCCGGCGGGGCCGGCAUGAUUUCAAGCUGCGUGACGGACUUCGCGCCCUGACGGAU